This 331-nucleotide ribosomal RNA is filed under the name uncultured bacterium. RNAcentral describes it as "bacterial SSU rRNA". It matches the Rfam family "Bacterial small subunit ribosomal RNA", at positions 568 to 898 of the family's 1533-position model. The record is from RNAcentral.
CGCGUAGGCGGUGCGGUAAGUCACCUGUGAAACCUCCGGGCUCAACUCGGAGCCUGCAGGCGAAACUGCCGUGCUGGAGUGUGGGAGGGGUGCGUGGAAUUCCCGGUGUAGCAGUGAAAUGCGUAGAUAUCGGGAGGAACACCUGUGGCGAAAGCGGCGCAUUGGACCACAACUGACGCUGAGGCGCGAAAGCUAGGGGAGCAAACAGGAUUAGAUACCCUGGUAGUCCUAGCCCUAAACGAUGGAUGCUUGGUGUAGCCGGUACCCAAUCCGGCUGUGCCGCAGCUAACGCGAUAAGCAUCCCGCCUGGGGAUACGGUCGCAAGGCUGAA